RNAcentral lists this ribosomal RNA (775 nucleotides) under uncultured Glomus. RNAcentral describes it as "SSU rRNA". It matches the Rfam family "Eukaryotic small subunit ribosomal RNA", at positions 338 to 1115 of the family's 1831-position model. The record is from RNAcentral. Lineage: Eukaryota; Fungi; Glomeromycota; Glomeromycetes; Glomerales; Glomeraceae.
GGCCUACCAUGGUGGUAACGGGUAACGGGGUGUUAGGGCACGACACCGGAGAGGGAGCCUGAGAAACGGCUACCACAUCCAAGGAUGGCAGCAGGCGCGCAAAUUACCCAAUCCCGACACGGGGAGGUAGUGACAAUAAAUAACAAUACGGGGUUCUUUCGGAUCUCGUAAUUGGAAUGAGUACAAUUUAAAUCUCUUAACGAGGAACAAUUGGAGGGCAAGUCUGGUGCCAGCAGCCGCGGUAAUUCCAGCUCCAAUAGCGUAUAUUAAAGUUGUUGCAGUUAAAAAGCUCGUAGUUGAAUUUCGGGAUCAAUAUGUUGGUCGUGCCUUGGUACGUACUGGCGUCGUUGGUUUCUACCUUCUGAAGAACCUCGAUGUCAUUAAUUUGGUGUCUUGGGGAAUCAGGACUGUUACUUUGAAAAAAUUAGAGUGUUUAAAGCAAGCUCACGCUUGAAUACAUUAGCAUGGAAUAAUGAAAUAGGACGUUUGAUUCUAUUUUGUUGGUUUCUAGGAUCGACGUAAUGAUUAAUAGGGAUAGUUGGGGGCAUUAGUAUUCAAUUGUCAGAGGUGAAAUUCUUGGAUUUAUUGAAGACUAACUACUGCGAAAGCAUUUGCCAAGGAUGUUUUCAUUAAUCAAGAACGAAAGUUAGGGGAUCGAAGACGAUCAGAUACCGUCGUAGUCUUAACCAUAAACUAUGCCGACUAGGGAUCGGAUGAUGUUAAUUUUUUAAUGACUCAUUCGGCGCCCUACGGGAAACCAAAGUGUUUGGGUUCA